This 432-nucleotide ribosomal RNA is filed under the name uncultured bacterium. RNAcentral's name for it is "partial 16S ribosomal RNA". It matches the Rfam family "Bacterial small subunit ribosomal RNA", at positions 338 to 795 of the family's 1533-position model. The record is from RNAcentral.
CCUACGGGUGGCAGCAGUAGGGAAUCUUGCGCAAUGGGCGAAAGCCUGACGCAGCGACGCCGCGUGCGGGAUGAAGGCCUUCGGGUCGUAAACCGCUUUCAGCAGGGACGCGGUACCUGCAGAAGAAGGCCCGGCCAACUACGUGCCAGCAGCCGCGGUGAUACGUAGGGGUCUAGCGUUGUCCGGAAUCAUUGGGCGUAAAGAGCUCGUAGGCGGUUCAGUUAGUCAGGUGUGAAAUCUCCACGCUCAACGUGGAGGGGCCACCUGAUACUGCUGGACUCGAGUCCGGUAGGGGAGUUCGGAAUUCCCGGUGUAGCGGUGAAAUGCGCAGAUAUCGGGAGGAACACCAGUGGCGAAGGCGGAACUCUGGGCCGGACUGACGCUGAGGAGCGAAAGCGUGGGGAGCGAACAGGAUUAGAUACCCUUGUAGUC